Molecule: ribosomal RNA, 497 nt
Filed under: uncultured bacterium
Lineage: Bacteria
Description: partial 16S ribosomal RNA
Rfam family: Bacterial small subunit ribosomal RNA
Source: RNAcentral
GAUGAACGCUGGCGGCGUGCCUAAUACAUGCAAGUCGAGCGAACGGACGAGAAGCUUGCUUCUCUGAUGUUAGCGGCGGACGGGUGAGUAACACGUGGAUAACCUACCUAUAAGACUGGGAUAACUUCGGGAAACCGUAGCUAAUACCGGAUAAUAUUUUGAACCGCAUGGUUCAAAAGUGAAAGACGGUCUUGCUGUCACUUAUAGAUGGAUCCGCGUUGCAUUAGCUAGUUGGUAAGGUAACGGCUUACCAAGGCAACGAUGCAUAGCCGACCUGAGAGGGUGAUCGGCCACACUGGAACUGAGGCACGGUCCAGACUCCUACGGGAGGCAGCAGUAGGGAAUCUUCCGCAAUGGGCGAAAGCCUGACGGAGCAACGCCGCGUGAGUGAUGAAGGUCUUCGGAUCGUAAAACUCUGUUAUUAGGGAAGAACAUAUGUGUAAGUAACUGUGCACAUCUUGACGGUACCUAAUCAGAAAGCCACGGCUAACUACGUG